RNAcentral lists this ribosomal RNA (497 nucleotides) under uncultured bacterium. RNAcentral describes it as "partial 16S ribosomal RNA". It matches the Rfam family "Bacterial small subunit ribosomal RNA", at positions 28 to 507 of the family's 1533-position model. The record is from RNAcentral.
GAUGAACGCUGGCGGCGUGCCUAAUACAUGCAAGUCGAGCGAACAGAUAAGGAGCUUGCUCCUUUGACGUUAGCGGCGGACGGGUGAGUAACACGUGGGUAACCUACCUAUAAGACUGGGAUAACUUCGGGAAACCGGAGCUAAUACCGGAUAAUAUUUCGAACCGCAUGGUUCGAUAGUGAAAGAUGGUUUUGCUAUCACUUAUAGAUGGACCCGCGCCGUAUUAGCUAGUUGGUAAGGUAACGGCUUACCAAGGCGACGAUACGUAGCCGACCUGAGAGGGUGAUCGGCCACACUGGAACUGAGACACGGUCCAGACUCCUACGGGAGGCAGCAGUAGGGAAUCUUCCGCAAUGGGCGAAAGCCUGACGGAACAACGCCGCGUGAGUGAUGAAGGUCUUCGGAUCGUAAAACUCUGUUAUUAGGGAAGAACAUACGUGUAAGUAACUGUGCACGUCUUGACGGUACCUAAUCAGAAAGCCACGGCUAACUACGUG